This 492-nucleotide ribosomal RNA is filed under the name uncultured bacterium. RNAcentral's name for it is "partial 16S ribosomal RNA". It matches the Rfam family "Bacterial small subunit ribosomal RNA", at positions 29 to 507 of the family's 1533-position model. The record is from RNAcentral.
AGUGAACGCUGGCGGUAGGCCUAACACAUGCAAGUCGAACGGCAGCACAGUAAGAGCUUGCUCUUACGGGUGGCGAGUGGCGGACGGGUGAGGAAUACAUCGGAAUCUACUUUUUCGUGGGGGAUAACGUAGGGAAACUUACGCUAAUACCGCAUACGACCUACGGGUGAAAGCAGGGGAUCUUCGGACCUUGCGCGAUUGAAUGAGCCGAUGUCGGAUUAGCUAGUUGGCGUGGUAAAGGCCCACCAAGGCGAGGCUCCGUAGCAGGGCUGAGAGGAUGAUCAGCCACACUGGAACUGAGACACGGUCCAGACUCCUAAGGGAGGCAGCAGUGGGGAAUAUUGGACAAUGGGCGCAAGCCUGAUCCAGCCAUACCGCGUGGGUGAAGAAGGCCUUCGGGUUGUAAAGCCCUUUUGUUGGGAAAGAAAAGCAGCAGGUUAAUACCCCGCUGUUCUGACGGUACCCAAAGAAUAAGCACCGGCUAACUUCGUG